GUACCUACGGGAGGCAGCAGUGGGGAAUAUUGCACAAUGGGGGAAACCCUGAUGCAGCAACGCCGCGUGAGUGAAGAAGUAUUUCGGUAUGUAAAGCUCUAUCAGCAGGGAAGAAGAUGACGGUACCUGAAUAAGAAGCCCCGGCUAACUACGUGCCAGCAGCCGCGGUAAUACGUAGGGGGCAAGCGUUAUCCGGAUUCACUGGGUGUAAAGGGAGCGUAGACGGCGAGACAAGUCUGGAGUGAAAGGCCGGGGCCCAACCCCGGGACUGCUCUGGAAACUGCCUGGCUGGAGUACAGGAGAGG
RNAcentral lists this ribosomal RNA (305 nucleotides) under uncultured bacterium. RNAcentral's name for it is "bacterial SSU rRNA". It matches the Rfam family "Bacterial small subunit ribosomal RNA", at positions 335 to 657 of the family's 1533-position model. The record is from RNAcentral.